Molecule: ribosomal RNA, 875 nt
Filed under: uncultured bacterium
Lineage: Bacteria
Description: bacterial SSU rRNA
Rfam family: Bacterial small subunit ribosomal RNA
Source: RNAcentral
UCCGGAUUCAUUGGGUUUAAAGGGUGCGUAGGCGGAUUAUUAAGUCAGGGGGUGAAAGUUGCGGCUCAACCGUAAAAUUGCCUUUGAUACUGGUAAUCUUGAGUACAUUUGAGGUAGGCGGGAAUGUGAUGUGUAGCGGUGAAAUGCUUAGAUAUAUCACAGAACACCGAUUGCGAAGGCAGCUUACUAAACUGUAACUGACGCUGAGGCACGAAAGCGUGGGUAUCGAACAGGAUUAGAUACCCUGGUAGUCCACGCCGUAAACGAUGAUUACUAGUUGUUUGCAAUACACCGUAAGCGACAAAGCGAAAGCAUUAAGUAAUCCACCUGGGGAGUACGUUGGCAACAAUGAAACUCAAAGGAAUUGACGGGGGCCCGCACAAGCGGAGGAACAUGUGGUUUAAUUCGAUGAUACGCGAGGAACCUUACCUGGACUUAAAAGGGGAGUGACAGACUUAGAGAUAGGUUUUUCUUCGGACACUCUUCAAGGUGCUGCAUGGUUGUCGUCAGCUCGUGCCGUGAGGUGUCGGGUUAAGUCCCAUAACGAGCGCAACCCACGUUGUUAGUUACCAGCACAUAAUGGUGGGCACUCUAACAAGACUGCCGGUGUAAACCGCGAGGAAGGUGCGGAUGACGUCAAAUCAGCACGGCCCUUACGUCCAGGGCUACACACGUGUUACAAUGGCCGGUACAGAGGGCAGCUACUUGGUGACAAGAUGCGAAUCUCGAAAACCGGUCUCAGUUCGGAUCGAAGUCUGCAACCCGACUUCGUGAAGCUGGAUUCGCUAGUAAUCGCAUAUCAGCCAUGAUGCGGUGAAUACGUUCCCGGGCCUUGUACACACCGCCCGUCAAACCAUGGAAGCCGGGGGUACCUG